AUUGUUGGCCCAGUGGCAGAGUAUCUGCUUGGAAUGCAGAAGGUCCCAGGUUUGGUCCCUGCUAUCUCUA
Molecule: transfer RNA, 70 nt
Filed under: Sphaerodactylus townsendi
Lineage: Eukaryota; Metazoa; Chordata; Lepidosauria; Squamata; Sphaerodactylidae
Description: tRNA-Ser
Source: RNAcentral